Molecule: ribosomal RNA, 465 nt
Filed under: Vreelandella stevensii
Lineage: Bacteria; Pseudomonadati; Pseudomonadota; Gammaproteobacteria; Oceanospirillales; Halomonadaceae
Description: partial 16S ribosomal RNA
Rfam family: Bacterial small subunit ribosomal RNA
Source: RNAcentral
CCUACGGGAGGCUGCAGUGGGGAAUAUUGGACAAUGGGCGAAAGCCUGAUCCAGCCAUGCCGCGUGUGUGAAGAAGGCCUUCGGGUUGUAAAGCACUUUCAGUGGGGAAGAAAGCCUUGGGGCUAAUACCCUCGAGGAAGGACAUCACCCACAGAAGAAGCACCGGCUAACUCCGUGCCAGCAGCCGCGGUAAUACGGAGGGUGCGAGCGUUAAUCGGAAUUACUGGGCGUAAAGCGCGCGUAGGCGGUCUGAUAAGCCGGUUGUGAAAGCCCCGGGCUCAACCUGGGAACGGCAUCCGGAACUGUCAGGCUAGAGUGCAGGAGAGGAAGGUAGAAUUCCCGGUGUAGCGGUGAAAUGCGUAGAGAUCGGGAGGAAUAACAGUGGCGAAGGCGGCCUUCUGGACUGACACUGACGCUGAGGUGCGAAAGCGUGGGUAGCAAACAGGAUUAGAUACCCCAGUAGUC